GAAAGUUGAAAGUUCAUAGUUUGCAGCAUGACAACAAUGGAGCUACGGGGGGAGCUCAAAUAUAGAGACGGAAGAAAGAAAGAAUUAAUAAUGAAAACAGAAAAUAGUUUACCCUCAUUGAUAGUGGGGAUAAAGAAAUUGAACGCCGACGUAUCGGUGCUUCUUACCGAGCUAGUUGUGCAAGAAAAACUUAAAGGGGGCAGUGACGACCAGGGAGAUUUUGAAGCUGAUGAUGAUGGAGAGAAUGACAGUGACGAAGAGGAGGAAGACACAAAAAUUGUGAUCAAGGCUCCUGUGUCAGAACCUCCAGCAAAACGAUCUAAAAGCCUGAGAACAUAAGGGCUCAAGGGCCACAAUGGCGCCUGGUCCACUACAACAAAACUGUGGGAUUUGUACUUUGUCAUAACUCAUGUAUCAGGCAAAUAAUCUUCACCUUACAAAACGAGUGUAAUUUAAGUGUAUUCUUUGUUGACAGAUCAGAAAGUUGUUCCAGUGUUCUUGUAAAAAUGACUAUAAAUGACAUUUUCCAAAACUUUUUUUUUUUCUAAUCCCAGGCCUUUUUUGGUUUUGUUUCACAGUGCAUUUACAAAAUAAAUACAAUCAGAAGCUCAAACAUAAAUACUCUUUCAAUAAAACAAACAUUAGGGCAA
Long non-coding RNA from Hypomesus transpacificus, 650 nucleotides. RefSeq lists it as uncharacterized. The transcript is spliced from 2 exons. Lineage: Eukaryota; Metazoa; Chordata; Actinopteri; Osmeriformes; Osmeridae. The record is from RefSeq and is a predicted model, not a curated record.